Molecule: ribosomal RNA, 279 nt
Filed under: uncultured bacterium
Lineage: Bacteria
Description: partial 16S ribosomal RNA
Rfam family: Bacterial small subunit ribosomal RNA
Source: RNAcentral
UGCCAGCCGCCGCGGUAAUACAGAGGCGGCGAGCGUUGUUCGGAUUUACUGGGCGUAAAGCGUGCGUAGGUGGUCUCGUGUGUCGGGUGUGAAAUCCCAUGGCUCAACUGUGGAACUGCAUCCGAAACUGCGGGACUGGAGUCCAGGAGGGGAGAGCGGAAUUCUUGGUGUAGCGGUGAAAUGCGUUGAUAUCAAGAAGAACACCGGUGGCGAAGGCGGCUCUCUGGAAUGGUACUGACGCUGAGGCACGAAAGCUGGGGGAGCGAACAGGAUUAGAUA